GGAAUCUUCCACAAUGGGCGAAAGCCUGAUGGAGCAACGCCGCGUGUGUGAUGAAGGGUUUCGGCUCGUAAAACACUGUUGUAAGAGAAGAAUGACAUUGAGAGUAACUGUUCAAUGUGUGACGGUAUCUUACCAGAAAGGAACGGCUAAAUACGUGCCCG
This 161-nucleotide ribosomal RNA is filed under the name uncultured bacterium. RNAcentral describes it as "partial 16S rRNA". It matches the Rfam family "Bacterial small subunit ribosomal RNA", at positions 358 to 511 of the family's 1533-position model. The record is from RNAcentral.